CAAUAGCGUAUAUUAAAGUUGCUGCGGUUAAAAAGCUCGUAGUUGGAUUUCUGCUCAUGUCGCGACAGCUGCCCUAUGGGUGUGCUUGUUGUUGACUUGUGCAUCUUUUCGUUCAGCCUGGGUCUUUAUCGACUCAGGUCCUGGCGGAUCAAUUACUUUGAAAAAAUUCGAGUGUUUCAAGCGGGUUAUCGCCUUGAAGACAUUAGCAUGGAAUAAUGAAUCAAAGCUUCGGUUUUGAUUUGUUGGCUUGCGAUUCCGAAGUAUGAUUAAUAGGGAUAGUUGGGGGCAUUCGUAUUCGACUGUCAGAGGUGAAAUUCUUGGAUUUGUCGAAGACGAACCACUGCGAAAGCAUUUGCCAAGGAUGUUUUCAUUAA
Molecule: ribosomal RNA, 374 nt
Filed under: uncultured eukaryote
Lineage: Eukaryota
Description: partial 18S ribosomal RNA
Rfam family: Eukaryotic small subunit ribosomal RNA
Source: RNAcentral